RNAcentral lists this long non-coding RNA (1914 nucleotides) under Mytilus galloprovincialis (Mediterranean mussel). The record is from RNAcentral. Lineage: Eukaryota; Metazoa; Mollusca; Bivalvia; Mytilida; Mytilidae.
UAGAUCUCUGCUUUAGAUAGAGAGAAGAAGCUGAAUAUAAUUAAACAAUUGGGUUGGGGGAGGGGUGGUGAUGUAUGCCAAGUGCACCCUGCCAGAAUCUGCAUCUGAUUUUAUUAAUUAAAGUAUUUCAUUGUUUUAUAUUGUUAUUGAUGUCAAUUUUAAGGGUAAAAAUUUCUUGUGAAACAUCAUGAAUUUUUUUAUUUAAGAUAUUACUAAUCUCAGGUAUUCCAUGAGUACAUGUAUAUAUUUCUGUAAGAUGGAGUGAUUGUUUUUCUCAAUGCUGUAUCAAUAAACAAAGGCUAUGGCACCAAGACUCUUUUUAAGAUAAAAGUAGGAUACCCAUAGAAGGGGGUCUCAUUGGGAGGUUCUGAUCCCGGAUCUCCCUUACUGUUUUGUCAGAUUCCCGUAUCCCCCUUUCACUAUGUUCGUAAGCAAUUCUCAUUUUUUUGUAAUUUCCCGUGUCCCGCUAGACUUCAUUUUAUGUUUUCACGGCUAAAUAAUUUGACUUUCACGUGUCACACUUACAAAAAAUAGGCAAUCCUGUGUCACGCUUAGACCCCAAUGAGACCCACAUAGAAUGGAUUCAAUAUGAUAUUUUUUUACUUGAUUAAUUUUUACAUUUAAGUUUUAUGAGGAUUGAUCAUAAUAUUAGAUUCCAUUUUAUCUCCAGUAUUUAGUGCUUUGACAUAUUUAUAAUAUACAUUUUCUCGACUUUUUCUGUCUUUGAAAAUAGAAAUUAUGGAUAAAUUAAGGUUCCAAUUUCUAAGACAAAGUUGACCGAAGGGGUCUUUUGCAAUUGUUUUAAGGUUCAUCUCUGUCAUCCAUUGCUUUUAAUAUUUUGGUUUUUAGUGGUUUUAAGUGUUCCAGAAAAGUACUUCGGACGCACCAUAUUUUAUAAAGUGUUAUUGUCAUUUAAUUGAAUAUUACUCAUAGUUUCAUAUUUAAUUUUAUCUGAUAUCAGUGGCGGAUCCAGGGGGGUUCGGGGUGCGCACCCCCCUUUAUUUUUGCCGAUCAAUGCAUUUGUAUCGGGACAUAUGUUUUGCACCCCCCCCUUUGCCCUGGGUUAGCACCCCCCCUUUCGAAAAUUCCUGCAUCCGCCCCUGGAUAUUUAAACCUUUUAUUAAAUGUAGACAGUUUUAAUUAUUUUAACUUAAUGUUCAAGUGUCUGUGAUGUGUAUUAUUAUUUUAUUGAAAAAAACGGAAUUUUUACCAAUGAAAUGAAUACUUAUUAUGUCUAAUUUUAACAUCUUUUUGCAUUAUUUCUACAGCUGAAUGUUUUAACACAUAUCAUUUUACUUAUUUAUGUAUUAUUCAUUUGAAUAUUUUUUAUGUUGUUUUAUUUUAUCCUGAAUUAGUUAGGGCCAAUCUUGUGUAGUAAACUUGUAAGGGUAGGAGGUCAAGCCUUAUUUGGAUAUUGGUUUUAGUGUCAGUUAUGACCAUUUUUUAUGAAGAAAUACUCAAAAGAAAAUAUGUUGGUUAAAAGGGGGGCCUUGGAGAUUGAAAGUCUGUCAUACCUAGAUCUCCCAUUAACUUUUUCUAUAAAUAGAACAGACUUUAAUAAGUAUGAGGACCAAUAAACUAUUUCGGAUUCAUUUACUUUUUGAGGUGUCACAAUUUUUGGGAUUAAAGAAGAAAAUUGUGUUUCCUGGGAUAUCUGUGUUUUGUUGUUUUGUCUGGGUUCGAGCAUUUUGAAAAUAUAAAAUUUCUUGAACUUUCAAAACGAAUUUCACGAAAGUUGCUGUCCCACGAAAAAAAUAAAGAAUUUACAGUAAAUGAACUAAGUAUAAUAUAUAUUUAUCUUCUCUGAGUGACUUGCAAAUCUGUUGGAUGUUAAUUGGGUGUGAAAGAAUGUUCUUGUUUUUUGUAACCAAUACCUCUUAUGGUUUUUGACAAAGAACCUUAAAACUUAUUUUU